This 814-nucleotide ribosomal RNA is filed under the name uncultured organism. RNAcentral describes it as "bacterial SSU rRNA". It matches the Rfam family "Bacterial small subunit ribosomal RNA", at positions 502 to 1332 of the family's 1533-position model. The record is from RNAcentral.
UACGUGCCAGCAGCCGCGGUAAGACGUAGGACGCAAGCGUUAUCCGGAUUUACUGGGCGUAAAGCGCCUGUAGGCGGUCAAGUAAGUCGGAUGUGAAAGCCCCGUGCUCAACGCGGGGAAGCCAUUCGAUACUGCGUGACUAGAGAACGGCAGAGGGAAACGGAAUUUCUGGUGUAGCGGUAAAAUGCGCAGAGAUCAGAAAGAACACCGAUGGCGAAGGCAGUUUCCUAGGCCGCAUCUGACGCUGAGAGGCGAAAGCUAGGGGAGCAAACAGGAUUAGAGACCCUGGUAGUCCUAGCUGUAAACGAUGGAUGCUAGGUGUGGGCCGGAAAGGUCCGUGCCGUAGUUAACGCGAUAAGCAUCCCGCCUGGGGAGUACGGCCGCAAGGCUAAAACUCAAACGAAUUGACGGGGACCCGCACAAGCAGCGGAGCGUGUGGUUUAAUUCGAUGCUACACGCAGAACCUUACCUGGGCUUGACAUGUAGGUGGUAGUGAAGUGAAAGCGGAGCGACCCUUCGGGGAGCCUACACAGGUGCUGCAUGGCUGUCGUCAGCUCGUGCCGUGAGGUGUCGAGUUAAGUCCCGUAACGAGCGCAACCCUUGUCCUUAGUUACAAGUGUCUAAGGAGACUGCCGGUGACAAACCGGAGGAAGGUGGGGAUGACGUCAAGUCAGCAUGGCCCUUAUGUCCAGGGCGACACACACGCUACAAUGGUCGGUACAAUGGGCAGCGCAGCCGCGAGGUGAAGCGAAUCCCAACAAAGCCGAUCCCAGUUCGGAUUGCAGGCUGCAACCCGCCUGCAUGAAGCCGGAGU